This is a transfer RNA of 65 nucleotides. It matches the Rfam family "tRNA". Rfam says of the family: Transfer RNA (tRNA) molecules are approximately 80 nucleotides in length. Their secondary structure includes four short double-helical elements and three loops (D, anti-codon, and T loops).
GGGUCUGUAGCUCAGCACCCCUGAUAAGGGUGAGGUCGGCAGUUCAAGUCUGCCCAGACCCACCA